AUUGAACGCUGGCGGAAUGCUUUACACAUGCAAGUCGAACGGCAGCACGGGUGCUUGCACCUGGUGGCGAGUGGCGAACGGGUGAGUAAUGCACCGGAACGUAUCCAAUAAUGGGGGAUAACGCACCGAAAGGUGUGCUAAUACCGCAUACGCCCUGAGGGGGAAAGCGGGGGAUCGUAAGACCUCGCGUUAAUGGAGCGGCCGAUGCCGGAUUAGCUAGUUGGUGAGGUAAAGGCUCACCAAGGCGACGAUCCGUAGCUGGUCUGAGAGGACGACCAGCCACACUGGAACUGAGACACGGUCCAGACUCCUACGGGAGGCAGCAGUGGGGAAUUUUGGACAAUGGGCGCAAGCCUGAUCCAGCCAUUCCGCGUGAGUGAAGAAGGCCUGGUGUAAAGCUCUUUCGCAAGGAAAGAAACUUAAUCUCCUAAUACGAGGUGAGGUUGACGGUACCGUGAUAAGAAGCACCGGCUAACUACGUGCCAGC
RNAcentral lists this ribosomal RNA (487 nucleotides) under uncultured bacterium. RNAcentral's name for it is "bacterial SSU rRNA". It matches the Rfam family "Bacterial small subunit ribosomal RNA", at positions 30 to 512 of the family's 1533-position model. The record is from RNAcentral.